ACAUGCAGUCGAGCGAAUGGAUUAAGAGCUUGCUCUUAUGAAGUUAGCGGCGGACGGGUGAGUAACACGUGGGUAACCUGCCCAUAAGACUGGGAUAACUCCGGGAAACCGGGGCUAAUACCGGAUAACAUUUUGAACCGCAUGGUUCGAAAUUGAAAGGCGGCUUCGGCUGUCACUUAUGGAUGGACCCGCGUCGCAUUAGCUAGUUGGUGAGGUAACGGCUCACCAAGGCAACGAUGCGUAGCCGACCUGAGAGGGCGAUCGACCACACUGGGACUGAGACACGAACAAAACUCAUACGGGAGGCAGCAGUAUGCAAUCUUCCGCAAUGGACGAAAGUCUGACGGAGCAACGCCGCGUGAGUGAUGAAGGCUUUCGGGUCGUAAAACUCUGUUGUUAGGGAAGAACAAGUGCUAGUUGAAUAAGCUGGCACCUUGACGGUACCUAACCAGAAAGCCACGGCUAACUACGUGCCAGCAGCCGCGGUAAUACGUAGGUGGCAAGCGUUAUCCGGAAUUAUUGGGCGUACAGCGCGCGCAGUUGUUUUCUUAAGUCUGAUGUGAAAGCCCACGGCUCAACCGUGGAGGGUCAUUGGAAACUGGGAGACUUGAGUGCAGAAGAGGAAAGUGGAAUUCCAUGUGUAGCGGUGAAA
Molecule: ribosomal RNA, 652 nt
Filed under: Bacillus anthracis (anthrax bacterium)
Lineage: Bacteria; Bacillati; Bacillota; Bacilli; Caryophanales; Bacillaceae
Also listed under: 1 other name
Description: bacterial SSU rRNA
Rfam family: Bacterial small subunit ribosomal RNA
Source: RNAcentral